GUCUGGUCCAAAGGUAAUGAGUUAUUCCAACUGAUUGUUCACAAAGACUAAACUUGUUUUAAUGCUUCACUCCUCACUAUUGCACUUGACUUGGGGAAA
RNAcentral lists this Y RNA (99 nucleotides) under Aotus nancymaae (Ma's night monkey). Its description in RNAcentral is "Y RNA (ENSANAG00000012284.1)". It matches the Rfam family "Y RNA". Rfam says of the family: Y RNAs are components of the Ro ribonucleoprotein particle (Ro RNP), in association with Ro60 and La proteins. The Y RNAs and Ro60 and La proteins are well conserved, but the function of the Ro RNP is not known. Lineage: Eukaryota; Metazoa; Chordata; Mammalia; Primates; Aotidae. The record is from RNAcentral.